This 95-nucleotide small nucleolar RNA is filed under the name Callithrix jacchus (white-tufted-ear marmoset). Its description in RNAcentral is "Small nucleolar RNA U13 (ENSCJAG00000054238.2)". It matches the Rfam family "Small nucleolar RNA U13". The record is from Rfam by way of RNAcentral. Lineage: Eukaryota; Metazoa; Chordata; Mammalia; Primates; Cebidae.
AAGAUUUUCUAGCUCAUAAAUGUAAUAAUUGGGUUCUCACACUCAUGUGUGAGAUGUACCCCUCUCACCCUUGUUACAACUUCAGCACAUAGAUA